GUGCGAGCGUGCUGCGACCGAGGCCACGCCUCGCUGGGGUGCGUAACUCGCUGGACGGGAUCAGAGCGCCCGGUUCACACAACAACACUGGGUUCUGCCCGUUCUGCAGGGAGAAAGAGCUCAGGCCCUCAGAGGACUGGCUGAGUGCCCUAGGCUGGUCACUGGGUGGCCGAUGGAGACUUCAACUCUACCAAGGAGAACACGAAGGAAGUCUGUGUUCAUCAACAAAAUAUAUGGGCAACUCUGGCCCGUACUUUGCUUUGAGAAUCAAAGGAUGGAGGUGUGUGUGUGUGGGAAUUAAGUAAACUAAACCCCAAGGUGUGUGUGUGCGGGGGGUGGGUAUCAGAAUCUGGCUCUGGACCUUAAGGAGUCCCACUUCAAAAGAGAAAACAAGGAAAGCCACCUGAAAUCCAGGUAUUUGUGAGGCCGAGGCAGGAGAAUCACAAGUUCAAGGCCCACCUGGGCAAUUUAGCAAGAUCUUGUCUCAAAAAGCUGGGGGUGGGGGCUGGGGCUCAGUGGCAAAGUGCUUGCCUGCAUAUGUGAGGCCCUGGGUUUGAUCCUCAGCACCACAUAAAAAUAAAUAAAAUAAAGGUACAUCUAAAAGAAUAAUAA
Molecule: long non-coding RNA, 612 nt
Filed under: Ictidomys tridecemlineatus (thirteen-lined ground squirrel)
Lineage: Eukaryota; Metazoa; Chordata; Mammalia; Rodentia; Sciuridae
Description: lncRNA (ENSSTOG00000034651.1)
Source: RNAcentral